UGUUAGAAUAGUAAGCCCCCACUCCACAGUAGUGUUAGAAUAGUAAGCCCCCCACACCACAGUAUAGUGUUAGAAUAGUAAGCACCCCACACCACAGUCGAGUGUUAGAAUAGUAAGACCCCCAAGGGCCUCCCGGGUGGCGCAGUGGUUAAGGGCGCUGUACUGCAGCGCCAGCUGUGCCAUCAGAGUCCCUGGGUUCGCGCCCAGGCUCUGUCGUAACCGGUCGCGACCGGGAGGUCUGUGGGGCGACGCACAAUUGGCCCAGCGUCGCCUGGGUUAGGGAGGGCUUGGUCGGUAGGGGUGUCCUUGUCUCAUCGCGCACCAGCGACUCCUGUGGCGGGCUGGGCGCAGUGUGCGCAAACCAAGGUGGCCAGGUGCACGGUGUUUCCUCCGGCGCAUUGGUGCGGCUGGCUUCCGGGUUGGAUGCACGCUGUGUUAAGAAGCAGUGCAGGUUUUUUAUUUUUACCCCUUUUUCUCCCCAAUUUCGUGGUAUCCAAUUGUUGUAGUAGCUACUAUCUUGUCUCAUCGCUACAACUCCCGUACGGGCUCGGGAGAGACGAAGGUUGAAAGUCAUACACAACCCAACCAUCGGAGGACGCAUGACUUUCAACCUUCGUCUCUCCCGAGCCCGUACAGGAGUUGUAGCGAUG
This is a long non-coding RNA of Oncorhynchus tshawytscha (Chinook salmon), 650 nucleotides long. The record is from Ensembl. Lineage: Eukaryota; Metazoa; Chordata; Actinopteri; Salmoniformes; Salmonidae.